Molecule: long non-coding RNA, 255 nt
Filed under: Struthio camelus australis
Lineage: Eukaryota; Metazoa; Chordata; Aves; Struthioniformes; Struthionidae
Description: lncRNA (ENSSCUG00000006070.1)
Source: RNAcentral
AUGCCCUGGGACUGUGGGUCACGCGAUGGUAAUGACAGAGCUGCCCGGUUUGUGUCCGCAUCAUGUCCAAUACACACAUGCUGCCUAGAGGACACAAACCAAUCAAGGCCUCCAGUCCAGCUGUCUCCAGCACCAUGGUCUUGAGGGAACAGGACAUGCACUCCAGCUACUCAAGGUGUUUUUGAGCCCUGGCUGACAGCCCAGCUUUUACAUACAGUGGUUUCAGAAGUUUAGACGUAUCACCCCUGUUCCCAA